GGAUCCUGCUGUUUUCGCAUAAUGUGAGAUGUGGCAACUGUGAACAAUGCUGGGCUUGUUGUUCCUUCAAUCUGGCCUGUUUUUCUGCCUCAGACUGGCAGACUCUUACUCUCCCACAGUGGGAAUCUAGAUGGAAUGGUGCUGGAUACCUAAGCCAUGAAGAGUGACGUUCCAAAGGGCUAAAACCCAGUGUGCCAUGCACAAUGGAAUCGUUGAUACCUGAGGUCAGAUGCAGCAGCGAAUGAGUCUAUUUCCUCAGGAGAGCAGCAGGCCGUGAGUAAGGAAAUGGCUGUCUACACAGGGUUCAGGUGUAAGCCUUCUUGUUAUCUGCCACUGGGAUCGCUUUAUUUUCCCUUUGGAAAACUAUAGUAGGGUCUACAUAACAGAACCUGUUAUUUCAUCAGGAUGGUUUCCAUGAGUAUCCCAUGUGGUUGAUCUUGAUCGUGCAGGUCGAGAGGCCCAAACUGAAGCAUACGGAAGCUUAGGGUACAUCAUGUGCAGAGCGACUGAGCUGCAGGAUUAACUCAUCACUCCUUACAGGAAAUAAAGGAAUGCGGUGGGCAAAACCACAGGCUUCUGGUGCCCAGAAGCUGCGAUUGGGGAGCGUCUCAAGCCUUCGUUCUCAAUAUGGAACUUCAGCCUGAAGUAUGUGACCAAAAGCAGCGUGCAGAAAAGAUCAUUCCAGACCAGAUAUUUAUGAGCCACAUCUUUCUUGGGGAUUCCUAGAGCCCAAUAGCUCCCUUGUCUCCCCAUGACUUCCACAGAUCAGCAGUACAAAGGUCCCUUUAUGAGGAGUCUUCUAAAGCUCUGCGGGAAUGAGAAGCAUGAGUUUCAGAUGUACCUGCAUCCCCCUGUUUCACUCCUCAUGCCAGCAAGGAAUCUAUUUCAAAAAUGUCCUAUAACACAUGUGCUUUCUUCAUUACUGCAUACCCAAAUAUGACCAAAUGGUGGCCUUUACUCACGUCAUUUUUGGCUAUAUUUAGCCUGGGGCAUUUUUCACAUUAUGUACCUUCCAUUCUUAGCCAAUCUGAUUUAUGUCAAGUUCUAUUUAGAUUUUUCAAGAUAACACAUAGCUUUGUCAUUCUACUGAGGUUUUCUUUUUUGGUACAGAUGAAAUGUGUCUUCCUAUGAAAUAUGAACAAAUCCCCCUGAAUAUAUAGUUAAUGGCAGAGCUUUCAACAAUUCAAAUAAUUCAGAAGGAUUGGCCAUUUUAUUUUACUAAUUAUUGAUUCAGACUGAUCUUCAACACUUAGGUUGGUGAAGAUGUAGCGGCUGGAUGGACCACAUUUAAAUACAAAAGUAAAAUUAUCAAAUCAUUUCAAGAGCCGUUUAGAACAUAAUGUGAAAUAUAGAAUUGAGCGAGAGUGGAGCACAAACUAUCAUGGGGUGAAAUGUACCAUGGAUCAUUUAAGUAGUUAAACAUGUUUGAGUAAAACAUGUUUCUACUUACUUUCUCAUAUUCCCACAGCAACAUUAUCUGCCAAUUUUGUUGCCAAUCAGACAGUUAUUUCUCAAGAUUCACCCUUUUUUUUCAUUAUGAAUGUUUUGAGUUGAGUGUCAUGGAAACUAUUCAUUUAAUCACCAUCUUAUUUUAAAGAACAUAAAUAACUUACAGCGACAGCUAGCCUAGGCCAAAAUGCAGCCAACCCAUGGGAGGGUUAGUAAACGAAGCUGCCUAAUGAAAACAAUGAAACAAUUAAUAUACUUCAAGAUAAAUUCAAAACAGUUUUUAGACAUUUUAACAUGCAUAAAAGAGCUACUUUAUGGAUAAGUUUGACACACCUCUUUUUGCUAAAUGUUUAUUUUGAUGCAGGUAUUUUUAUUUAUUUAGUUUGGAAAGCAUCUUUGGUUCAAUCAAGAAAGAACUGUAUUAAAAUAAUUGUGUUUUUCAUUUUCUGUAUGUUUAGCAUUUUAGCAAUGUUUAGGUGCUAGGAGCCAACUUUGUUUUCUUUGUAAAAUGAUUAAAUCAAAAACCAAAUGUCUUAUUUUGCUUUCUUCUAACAUGUAUACUGACAUUUAAAAAAACAGCUUGUUGGCAAAAUAGGCAGUAGAUGAAAACUUGCAGUAUAGAUACGUGGCUGAAAAGGCAGAGAUCUGACAGAAAAAUAAACGUGAAAGGGGGCUGGUGAAUGAUCUAAUUUUAGGAGUCCGUGUUCUUUCCUAAGCCUUGCUGGUUGGACAUGAUACAGACUAAUUGAUGGUGUGGUCAGGCUUGUGUGCUGCAUUGCUAAUAAAAUCUGUCAGACCUCC
This is a long non-coding RNA of Pygocentrus nattereri (red-bellied piranha), 2250 nucleotides long. RefSeq lists it as uncharacterized. The record is from RefSeq and is a predicted model, not a curated record. Lineage: Eukaryota; Metazoa; Chordata; Actinopteri; Characiformes; Serrasalmidae. The transcript is spliced from 2 exons.